AACGAACGCUGGCGGCAGGCUUAACACAUGCAAGUCGAGCGAGACCUUCGGGUCUAGCGGCGGACGGGUGAGUAACGCGUGGGAACGUGCCCUUCUUUACGGACUAGCCCCGGGACACUGGGAGUAAUACCGUAUACGCCCUUUGGGGGAAAGACUUAUCGGCGGAGGAUGGGCCCGCGGUGGUUUAGGUAGUUGGUGGGGUAAUGGCCCACCAAGCCGACGAUCCAUAGCGGGGUAGCGAGGCUGAGCCGCCACACUGGGACUGAGAGACGGCCCAGACUCCUACGGGGGGCAGCAGUGGGGGAUCUUAGAGAAUGGGGGGAACCCUGAACUAGCCAUGGCGCGGGAGUGAUGAAGGCCUUAGGGUUGUAAAGCUCCUUCAGCUGGGAAGAUAAUGACGGUACCAGCAGAAGAAGCCACGGCUAACUCCGUGCCAGCAGCCGCGGUAA
RNAcentral lists this ribosomal RNA (449 nucleotides) under uncultured bacterium. RNAcentral describes it as "partial 16S ribosomal RNA". It matches the Rfam family "Bacterial small subunit ribosomal RNA", at positions 28 to 523 of the family's 1533-position model. The record is from RNAcentral.